GCUGGGUGUGGUGGCAUGCUCCUGUGGUCCCAGCUACUCAGGGGGCUGAGAUGGGAGGAUCACCUGAGCCCAGGGAGGUUGAGGCUGCAGUGAGCUCUAAUCAUCAUGCCACUGCACUCCAGCCUGGGCGACAAAGUGAGAACCCAUCUCUA
This is an unclassified non-coding RNA of Callithrix jacchus (white-tufted-ear marmoset), 152 nucleotides long. It matches the Rfam family "Metazoan signal recognition particle RNA". From Rfam's summary of the family: The signal recognition particle (SRP) is a universally conserved ribonucleoprotein. It is involved in the co-translational targeting of proteins to membranes. Lineage: Eukaryota; Metazoa; Chordata; Mammalia; Primates; Cebidae. The record is from Ensembl.